RNAcentral lists this long non-coding RNA (815 nucleotides) under Fukomys damarensis (Damara mole-rat). Its description in RNAcentral is "lncRNA (ENSFDAG00000032611.1)". Lineage: Eukaryota; Metazoa; Chordata; Mammalia; Rodentia; Bathyergidae. The record is from RNAcentral.
GACUAAUUAAUAUUUUUAAUAUUUUAUUUUGGUUUAUUACAGAUGGAUCUGACUAGGGUGGGUCAAAUGUUGGAAGCAUUGUGCAGCGAGUGCUGAGUGAAACACAGCUCUUGGCCAAUUCACCAACACAGCGCUGGGUCUGCCUCAAAGGCAUUGCGUUUUAUCUGCUCACACCUUCUCUCAGGAAAGAAAGGAAAAAAGCAUUAUUUGUACCCACUGACUCUGCCUUGGAAGACCUCUUGCCUCACGUGGAGAAUUGCUUUGCUUCGUUGUGGGGAGAAUGUCGUGAAGAGAUUACAAUGUGGAACAGUCAUUUGGAUUUAGGAAAAGCCGGAAGUAGCCGUGAUGACAGAUCCAAUGAAUAACGUGGAUAAGGACAUGAUGUGAUGUUUUUCCAAACCUGUCUCUCACAAGGAUAUUACUUUAGGAUAAUCACUCCUCCUAAAAUCACUCCGGAAAGAGGACUUCUAGAGCUGCUUCCGAAAGUGGCAAGAACGGUGGGGUAAGUGUGCUUCAAAGUAAAGAGAGUAUUUUGAAGGAGAUGAAUGGCAAUGCGUCUUUGACUGUAAUAAAUGUUUCCCUUUAAGCAUGCAGCAUAUGUUUUGAUCAGCCAUCAUAUAUGUUUAUUUUCUGUAUCUGUUGGUGGGCAUGGCUAAAGUGAAAACUGAUGUAAGUACAUGGGUGUGGACAGAUUUCUAGAUACAUAUAAAUUACCAAGUUUGAACGAAGAAGAUAUAAAAAUUCUAAACACCCCCCAAUUACAAUCAGUGAAAUUGAAAACAUAAUUAAAAAUUUACCAACAAAGAAAAGCCCAG